RNAcentral lists this long non-coding RNA (502 nucleotides) under Brassica napus (rape). RNAcentral describes it as "long non-coding RNA (BNAP_LNC001470)". Lineage: Eukaryota; Viridiplantae; Streptophyta; Magnoliopsida; Brassicales; Brassicaceae. The record is from RNAcentral.
ACUUUUCCCUAGAAUUGAUUAAAUGGGCAUUCAAUAUUAUUUCAUUCCAAAAUUUUAUAGAAUGGAUGGAAUUAAAUAUUCUACAUUAUUUCAUUCUAAAAUUUAAUAAUGGAGCUGCAAUCUAUAUGUGCGUAGAAUUCUAUCGUUUACGUAUAUCUAACCUGCUAAACAGUUAGGGAUGUUUUUUUUUUUUUUUGUCACAAAACAGUUAGGGAUGUUAAUAUGAGCUUUUUUUGUUACUUUUUAUCUGGAUUAAAAUAGUGCCGAGCUAAAAUUACACUUGGGCUAACCCUCCCUCCUCUCUCCAAUAGCGAUCCUCCGUGUUGUGUCCGUCGAGCAAUCUCCUCAUCUCCUUGACAUCGAAUCUGUAGCUCUCAUCCCUUUAAUUUGGUUUGUGUGUUUGUUCUUAUUAGCUUGUUUGUGGGUUUGUUCUAUUACUCUAGUUUUGUUGACUUUAGCUCAUGAUUCAAGCAUAUGAUAUGUGUGUGAUAAUGAGCUGGAG